CCUACGGGAGGCAGCAGUGAGGAAUAUUGGUCAAUGGACGAGAGUCUGAACCAGCCAAGUAGCGUGAAGGAGGAAUGCCCUAAGGGUUGUAAACUUCUUUUAUAUGGGAAUAAAAUGUUCCACGUGUGGGCUUUUGUAUGUACCAUAUGAAUAAGCAUCGGCUAACUCCGUGCCAGCAGCCGCGGUAAUACGGAGGAUCCGAGCGUUAUCCGGAUUUAUUGGGUUUAAAGGGAGCGUAGAUGGGUUGUUAAGUCAGUUGUGAAAGGUUGCGGCUCAACCGUAAAAUUGCAGUUGAAACUGGCAGCCUUGAGUACAGGUGAGGUAUGCGGAAUGCGUGGUGUAGCGGUGAAAUGCUUAGAUAUCGCGAAGAACUCCGAUUGCGAAGGCAGCCUACUAAACUGCCACUGACAUUGAUGCUCGAAAGUGUGGGUAUCAAACAGGAUUAGAUACCCCAGUAGUC
Molecule: ribosomal RNA, 460 nt
Filed under: uncultured bacterium
Lineage: Bacteria
Description: partial 16S ribosomal RNA
Rfam family: Bacterial small subunit ribosomal RNA
Source: RNAcentral